GAUGAACGCUGGCGGCGUGCCUAAUACAUGCAAGUCGAGCGAACAGACGAGGAGCUUGCUCCUCUGACGUUAGCGGCGGACGGGUGAGUCACACGUGGAUAACCUACCUAUAAGACUGGGAUAACUUCGGGAAACCGGAGCUAAUACCGGAUAAUAUAUUGAACCGCAUGGUUCAAUAGUGAAAGACGGUUUUGCUGUCACUUCUAGCUGGAUCCGCGCCGCAUUAGCUAGUUGGUAAGGUAACGGCUUACCAAGGCAACGAUGCGUAGCCGACCUGAGAGGGUGAUCGGCCACACUGGAGCGGAGACACGGUCCAGACUCCUACGGGAGGCAGCAGUAGGGAAUCGUCCGCAAUGGGCGAAAGCCUGACGGAGCAACGCCGCGUGAGUGAUGAAGGUCUUCGGAUCGUAAAACUCUGUUAUUAGGGAAGAACAAAUGUGUAAGUAACUAUGCACGUCUUGACGGUACCUAAUCAGAAAGCCACGGCUAACUACGUG
RNAcentral lists this ribosomal RNA (497 nucleotides) under uncultured bacterium. RNAcentral describes it as "partial 16S ribosomal RNA". It matches the Rfam family "Bacterial small subunit ribosomal RNA", at positions 28 to 507 of the family's 1533-position model. The record is from RNAcentral.